Molecule: ribosomal RNA, 253 nt
Filed under: Bacteroides mediterraneensis
Lineage: Bacteria; Pseudomonadati; Bacteroidota; Bacteroidia; Bacteroidales; Bacteroidaceae
Description: partial 16S ribosomal RNA
Rfam family: Bacterial small subunit ribosomal RNA
Source: RNAcentral
UACGGAGGAUGCGAGCGUUAUCCGGAUUUAUUGGGUUUAAAGGGAGCGUAGACGGGUCGUUAAGUCAGCUGUGAAAGUUUGAGGCUCAACCUUAAAAUUGCAGUUGAUACUGGCGUCCUUGAGUACGGUUGAGGCAGGCGGAAUUCGUGGUGUAGCGGUGAAAUGCAUAGAUAUCACGAAGAACCCCGAUUGCGAAGGCAGCCUGCUAAGCCGCGACUGACGUUGAGGCUCGAAAGUGUGGGUAUCAAACAGG